This 2238-nucleotide ribosomal RNA is filed under the name human gut metagenome. Its description in RNAcentral is "bacterial LSU rRNA". It matches the Rfam family "Bacterial large subunit ribosomal RNA", at positions 178 to 2495 of the family's 2925-position model. The record is from RNAcentral.
GGGGAACCGCCUGAACUGAAACAUCUAAGUAGGGCGAGGAAGAGAAAUCAACCGAGAUUCCGCUAGUAGUGGCGAGCGAACGCGGAAGAGGCCAAACCGGAGGUAGCAAUAUUUCCGGGGUUAGGACUGCAAUAUGUAACUUUAAUCUUUAACUGAAUGCUUUGGGAAGAGCAGCGAUACAGGGUGAUAGCCCCGUAAGUGAAAAGGAUUGAGUGCUAGCAGUAUCCAGAGUACCAGCGGACACGUGAAACCCGCUGGGAAGAUGGGGGGACCAUCCUCCAAGCCUAAAUACUACUCAGUGACCGAUAGUGGAGCAGUACCGUGAGGGAAAGGUGAAAAGUACCCCGGGAGGGGAGUGAAAGAGAACCUGAAACCUUGUGCCUACAAGCACCGAGAGCACGUUAAAGUGUGAUCGGGUACUUUUUGUAGAACGGUCCGGCGAGUUAAUAUUUGCAGCGAGGUUAAGUAACUGGAGUUACGGAGCCGCAGCGAGAGCGAGUCUGAAUAGGGCGUAUGAAGUUGCAGGUAUUAGACCCGAAACCGGGUGACCUAUCCAUGAGCAGGCUGAAGCGGUGGUAAGACACCGUGGAGGGCCGCACCCACGUCUGUUGAAAAAGCCGGGGAUGACUUGUGGAUAGCGGAGAAAUUCCAAUCGAACUCGGAGAUAGCUGGUUCUCCCCGAAAUAGCUUUAGGGCUAGCGUUAUUUUAGAUUACCGGAGGUAAAGCACUGAAUGGUCUAGGGGCCGCGAGGUUACCAAAGCCUAUCAAACUCUGAAUGCCGGAUAAUUGAUGAAUAGCAGUCAGACUGUGUGAGAUAAGUCUCAUAGUCAAAAGGGAAACAGCCCAGAUCUACAGCUAAGGUCCCAAAUGAACACUAAGUGGAAAAUGAUGUGAAACUGCGAAGACAACCAGGAUGUUGGCUUAGAAGCAGCCACUCAUUCAAAGAGUGCGUAAUAGCUCACUGGUCGAGUGGUUUUGCGCAGAAAAUGUAACGGGGCUAAGUGUUCAACCGAAGCUUAGGCAUUGCAGUAAUGCAUUGGGUAGGGGAGCGUCGUAUGCGGGGCGAAGUCAGAGCGGAAGCACUGGUGGACUGCAUACGAGUGAGAAUGCCGGAAUAAGUAGCGAGAAUUAUGUGAGAAUCAUAAUGGCCGAAAAUCUAAGGUUUCCUGGGGAAGGUUCGUCCGCCCAGGGUUAGUCGGGAGCUAAGCUCAGGCCGAAAGGCGUAGGCGAUGCACAUACGGUAGAAAUUCCGUAACCACCGAACUUUAAGCUAGAGGGACGCUUUCUUUAAGGUUAUCCCGGGCGAUGGUUGCCCCGGGCGCAAGGGACCGAAAUUUAGUAGGGAAGUAACUGGCGAGAGAGACGAGAAAAGCUCUAGUGUAUACUAAGGUGCCCGUACCGCAAACCGACACAGGUAGAAGGGAUGAGUAUUCUAAGGCCAACGGGAGAAGGGUUGUUAAGGAACUCGGCAAAUUGGCCCCGUAACUUCGGGAUAAGGGGCGCCUGCGAGAGCAGGCCGCAGUGAAAAGGCCCAAGCGACUGUUUAGCAAAAACACAGCUCUCUGCUAAAUCGAAAGAUGACGUAUAGGGGGUGACGCCUGCCCGGUGCUGGAAGGUUAAGGGGAGUGCUUAGCGCAAGCGAAGGUGCGAACUUAAGCCCCAGUAAACGGCGGCCGUAACUAUAACGGUCCUAAGGUAGCGAAAUUCCUUGUCAGGUAAGUUCUGACCCGCACGAAUGGCGUAACGAUUUGGGCACUGUCUCAACAGCCCGCCCGGCGAAAUUGUAGUACCGGUGAAGAUGCCGGUUUCCCGCAACUAGACGGAAAGACCCCAUGGAGCUUCACUGUAGCUUGAUAUUGGACUUCGGUAUUCCAUGUACAGGAUAGGUGGGAGGCUAGGAAGCGAGCGCGCCAGCGUUCGUGGAGCCGCCCUUGGGAUACCACUCUUGGGAUAUUGGAGUUCUAACCUGCGACCAUGAAUCUGGUCGGGGGACAUUGUCAGGUGGGCAGUUUGACUGGGGCGGUCGCCUCCAAAAGAGUAACGGAGGCGCUCAAAGGUUCGUUCAGCACGGACGGAAAUCGUGCACUGAGUGUAAACGCAUAAACGAGCCUAACUGCGAGAAUGACGGUUCGAGCAGUAACGAAAGUUGGAGUUAGUGAUCCGGCGGUAUGUGAAUGGAAAUGCCGUCGCUCAACGGAUAAAAGCUACCCUGGGGAUAACAGGCUGAUCUCCCCCAA